Molecule: non-coding RNA, 697 nt
Filed under: Ancylostoma tubaeforme
Lineage: Eukaryota; Metazoa; Nematoda; Chromadorea; Rhabditida; Ancylostomatidae
Source: RNAcentral
UAUAAAGAUUGCUUUUAUAGAUUUAAAAUUUGAUUAUGGUUUUUAAAUUGUUAAAAUAAUAUUAUUUAAGUUUAAUUUAUUUAGUGGGCAAUGUUAAUUUACCCCGGUAAUUAAUUAUUUGUAUAAUACUUGUUCCAGAAUAAUCGGCUAGGCUUGUUAAAAUUUAUACUUUAUUUUGUUUUAAUUAUAAUUUUAGUUAAUAAUUUAUUUAAUUAUAGGUUAAAUUUUAAUUAAUUUAAGUUUAAAAUUAUAAUUUUAAGUUUUGAGAAACGAAUUAGAUUAGUACCUAAUUAGUCAAAAGUUAAAAGAGCAGGAGUAAAGUGGUAUUUAAACUGAAAGAAUAUUGGCAGAUUUUCUAAAUUAUCUUUGGAGGUUGAGUAAUAAUUGAGAACCCUCAUUAACUACUUUUUUGUUAGUCUCAUGUAUGAUCGUUUAUUUUAUACUUAAGGUAUAUAAUAAAAAAUUUUUAUUUAAUAAAAUAGAUAUAUAUUUGGUUUAUGUAAAAGUUUAAUUUGACCUACAAUAGUUUAUGUUUGUGGAUUUGCAGUUUAGUAAUUGUAAUGAAAAUGUAAAAGACAGUAAAAAAAUUUUUAUGAUUUUUUGAAGAUUAUUUAGAUGUGGUACAAAUCAUCCAUCAAUUGCCCAAAGGGGAGUAAGUUGUAGUAAAGUAGAUUUAGGGGAACCUUAAUCUAAUAAU